RNAcentral lists this unclassified non-coding RNA (213 nucleotides) under Hevea brasiliensis (rubber tree). Lineage: Eukaryota; Viridiplantae; Streptophyta; Magnoliopsida; Malpighiales; Euphorbiaceae. The record is from RNAcentral.
GGUAUGCUUCUUUAAUUUGAAUACAAUGUGGUGGAGCGAUAAUGAAGGGCUACAUAAUGCAAUUACUUAUUCUAGCAUAUAAUUAGAUGAGUUAUGAGAUACAAUUCAAAGAAUACCUAUCAAAUAGCAACCGUUAUAUAACUAACGGCUGUUAUUUACAGGUUUUGUAGAGAGCUGUUACGCGUGAGACCGUUAUUUACAGGCAAAUAGGUA